Long non-coding RNA from Sinocyclocheilus grahami, 489 nucleotides. RefSeq lists it as uncharacterized. The record is from RefSeq and is a predicted model, not a curated record. The transcript has 3 exons. NCBI's taxonomy places the organism in Eukaryota, Metazoa, Chordata, Actinopteri, Cypriniformes, Cyprinidae.
UCACUCCACCUCUUACUGUCUCAUCAGGACCAGAUGCUGCUGUGGUCUCUUCAUCCUCAGUGACCCCAGAGCCAGCUGGAGCAUCUAGAGAAACACCAAAAGACACUGAGGAUGGACCUACAAUCCUCUGGAACAACCUGGAUUGGUCAAGGACAUACUGCUGGUUUUGAACCAGCAACUUUCUGCUCACCAGUUCAGUGGUUUAGCCCACUACAAAAGUAGUGGUGCUCAUGGAGAGCAGCACACAAAUGUGUUCCCUGCUCUUGCUUCUAGCUUGUGUGGUUCAGAGAGCCGUCAUCAUGGUCUUCCUCAUCCUCUUGCUCAACCAUGUCUCCACUGAGAAGAGCGAGAUUGUGAAGCAGAACGGUCUCCGCUGUGUUGAGAUGCAGUAGGAUCGGGGUUCACCAUCUGUAAAUACAUGCUUGUUAGAACAAUACGUUUGAAUGAAGCUUUGUUUCAUCUGUUGUUGACUUGUAUAUGUAUUUAUUG